GAUGGUAGGAUAGAGGCCUACCAUGGUGGUAACGGGUAACGGGGUGUUAGGGCACGACACCGGAGAGGGAGCCUGAGAAACGGCUACCACAUCCAAGGAUGGCAGCAGGCGCGCAAAUUACCCAAUCCCGACACGGGGAGGUAGUGACAAUAAAUAACAAUACGGGGUUCUUUAGGAUCUCGUAAUUGGAAUGAGUACAAUUUAAAUCUCUUAACGAGGAACAAUUGGAGGGCAAGUCUGGUGCCAGCAGCCGCGGUAAUUCCAGCUCCAAUAGCGUAUAUUAAAGUUGUUGCAGUUAAAAAGCUCGUAGUUGAAUUUCGGGGUUAGUAGGUUGGUCAUGCCUCUGGUAUGUACUGGUCUCACUGAUUCCUCCUUCCUGAUGAGCCGUAAUGCCAUUAAUUUGGUGUUUUGGGGAAUUUGGACUGUUACCUUGAAAAAAUUAGAGUGUUUAAAGCAAGCUUACGCUUGAAUACAUUAGCAUGGAAUAAUGAAAUAGGACGUUUGAUCCUAUUUUGUUGGUUUCUAGGAUCGACGUAAUGAUUAAUAGGGAUAGUUGGGGGCAUUAGUAUUCAAUUGUCAGAGGUGAAAUUCUUGGAUUUAUUGAAGACUAACUACUGCGAAAGCAUUUGCCAAGGAUGUUUUCAUUAAUCAAGAACGAAAGUUAGGGGAUCGAAGACGAUCAGAUACCGUCGUAGUCUUAACCAUAAACUAUGCCGACUAGGGAUCGGAUGAUGUUAAUUUUUUAAUGACUCAUUCGGCGCCUUACGGGAAA
This 772-nucleotide ribosomal RNA is filed under the name uncultured Glomeromycotina. RNAcentral describes it as "SSU rRNA". It matches the Rfam family "Eukaryotic small subunit ribosomal RNA", at positions 324 to 1097 of the family's 1831-position model. Lineage: Eukaryota; Fungi; Glomeromycota. The record is from RNAcentral.